RNAcentral lists this ribosomal RNA (435 nucleotides) under uncultured bacterium. RNAcentral's name for it is "partial 16S ribosomal RNA". It matches the Rfam family "Bacterial small subunit ribosomal RNA", at positions 29 to 507 of the family's 1533-position model. The record is from RNAcentral.
AACAAACGCUGGCGGCAUGCCUAACACAUGCAAGUCGAACGAUUGCCUUCGGGUGAUAGUGGCGCACGGGUGCGUAACGCGUGGUAAUCUGCCCUUAGGUUCGGAAUAACAGCUGGAAACGGCUGCUAAUACCGGAUGAUAUCGCGAGAUCAAAGAUUUAUCGCCUGAGGAUGAGCCCGCGUUGGAUUAGGUAGUUGGUGGGGUAAAGGCCUACCAAGCCGACGAUCCAUAGCUGGUCUGAGAGGAUGAUCAGCCACACUGGGACUGAGACACGGCCCAGACUCCUACGGAAAGCAGCAGUGGGGAAUAUUGGACAAUGGGCGCAAGCCUGAUCCAGCAAUGCCGCGUGAGUGAUGAAGGCCGUAGGGUUGUAAAGCUCUUUUACCCGGGAAGAUAAUGACUGUACCGGGAGAAUAAGCCCCGGCUAACUCCGUG